RNAcentral lists this ribosomal RNA (442 nucleotides) under uncultured bacterium. Its description in RNAcentral is "partial 16S ribosomal RNA". It matches the Rfam family "Bacterial small subunit ribosomal RNA", at positions 338 to 795 of the family's 1533-position model. The record is from RNAcentral.
CCUACGGGUGGCUGUAGUGGGGAAUAUUGGGCAAUGGGCGCAAGCCUGACCCAGCGACGCCGCGUGAAGGAAGAAGGCUUUCGGGUUGUAAACUUCUUUUGACAGGGAAGAGCAGAAGACGGUACUUGUCGAAUAAGCCACGGCUAACUACGGGCCAGCAGCCGCGGUAAUAGGUAGGUGGCAGGCGUUGUCCGGAUUUACUGGGGGUAAAGGGCGUGUGGCCGGGCUGACAAUUCAGAUGUGAAAUCCGGGGGCUCAACCCCCGAACUGCAUUUGAAACUGUUGGUCUUGAGUAUCGGAGAGGCAGGCGGAAUUCCUAGUGUAGCGGUGAAAUGCGUAGAUAUUAGGAGGAACACCAGUGGCGAAGGCGGCCUGCUGGACGACAACUGACGGUGAGGCGCGAAAGCGUGGGGAGCAAACAGGAUUAGAUACCCGGGUAGUC